Molecule: ribosomal RNA, 254 nt
Filed under: uncultured bacterium
Lineage: Bacteria
Description: partial 16S ribosomal RNA
Rfam family: Bacterial small subunit ribosomal RNA
Source: RNAcentral
UACGUAGGGUGCGAGCGUUGCCCGGAUUUAUUGGGCGUAAAGGGCGCGUAGGCGGCCACGCACGUCCGUUGUGAAAUCGCCCGGCUCAACUGGGCGGGGUCAGCGGAUACGGUGUGGCUCGAGCAAGCUAGGGGGCAAUGGAAUUCCCGGUGUAGUGGUGGAAUGCGUAGAUAUCGGGAGGAACACCAGUGGCGAAGGCGGUUGCCUGGAGCUUUGCUGACGCUGAGGCACGAAAGCGUGGGGAGCAAACAGGG